This 522-nucleotide long non-coding RNA is filed under the name Salmo salar (Atlantic salmon). Its description in RNAcentral is "lncRNA (ENSSSAG00000096732.1)". Lineage: Eukaryota; Metazoa; Chordata; Actinopteri; Salmoniformes; Salmonidae. The record is from RNAcentral.
GAGUUUUUCCUAGCCACCGUGCUUCUACACCUACAUUGCUUGCUGUUUGGGGUUUUAGGCUGGGUUUCUGUACAGCACUUUGAGAUAUCAGCUGAUGUAAGAAGGGCUAUAUAAAUAAAUUUGAUUUAAAAUAAGGGUUAAAUAAAAAAAUAAAAAAUCUGCAAAUAUACUGUCCUUGUAGCAGGGACAACAGAAACAAACAUCAUUCUUGGUUCUUGGAUCUGAAUCAACUCGACCCCAAAAGAGAAAAAGAAGCGAGAAAAAGACUGCUCCUGACCAAACCAGAUAAACAUUGGAAUUAAUUUUUUAAGAGUAACACUGAAAUGGCCACUGUUCUUAUGGACUGGUAGGGAGAUACUGUUGGAGAGUCUGAUUUCGAGAGAACAUGAAGCUGUACAAGUUGUGGUUGUGAAAAAACUGAGAGCACAAACCGACCCAGUGAAUUUCCAUUGUUUGGAGUGUACCCAAGUGGAAUGUUGGGGCCUUGACAUUAUUUUGUUAAAUGCAUGUUACAGAAAAGAG